This 2771-nucleotide ribosomal RNA is filed under the name Staphylococcus aureus. RNAcentral describes it as "partial 23S ribosomal RNA". It matches the Rfam family "Bacterial large subunit ribosomal RNA". Lineage: Bacteria; Bacillati; Bacillota; Bacilli; Caryophanales; Staphylococcaceae. The record is from RNAcentral.
GAUAUGUGAAUACAUAGCAUAUCAGAAGGCACACCCGGAGAACUGAAACAUCUUAGUACCCGGAGGAAGAGAAAGAAAAUUCGAUUCCCUUAGUAGCGGCGAGCGAAACGGGAAGAGCCCAAACCAACAAGCUUGCUUGUUGGGGUUGUAGGACACUCUAUACGGAGUUACAAAGGACGACAUUAGACGAAUCAUCUGGAAAGAUGAAUCAAAGAAGGUAAUAAUCCUGUAGUCGAAAAUGUUGUCUCUCUUGAGUGGAUCCUGAGUACGACGGAGCACGUGAAAUUCCGUCGGAAUCUGGGAGGACCAUCUCCUAAGGCUAAAUACUCUCUAGUGACCGAUAGUGAACCAGUACCGUGAGGGAAAGGUGAAAAGCACCCCGGAAGGGGAGUGAAAUAGAACCUGAAACCGUGUGCUUACAAGUAGUCAGAGCCCGUUAAUGGGUGAUGGCGUGCCUUUUGUAGAAUGAACCGGCGAGUUACGAUUUGAUGCAAGGUUAAGCAGUAAAUGUGGAGCCGUAGCGAAAGCGAGUCUGAAUAGGGCGUUUAGUAUUUGGUCGUAGACCCGAAACCAGGUGAUCUACCCUUGGUCAGGUUGAAGUUCAGGUAACACUGAAUGGAGGACCGAACCGACUUACGUUGAAAAGUGAGCGGAUGAACUGAGGGUAGCGGAGAAAUUCCAAUCGAACCUGGAGAUAGCUGGUUCUCUCCGAAAUAGCUUUAGGGCUAGCCUCAAGUGAUGAUUAUUGGAGGUAGAGCACUGUUUGGACGAGGGGCCCCUCUCGGGUUACCGAAUUCAGACAAACUCCGAAUGCCAAUUAAUUUAACUUGGGAGUCAGAACAUGGGUGAUAAGGUCCGUGUUCGAAAGGGAAACAGCCCAGACCACCAGCUAAGGUCCCAAAAUAUAUGUUAAGUGGAAAAGGAUGUGGCGUUGCCCAGACAACUAGGAUGUUGGCUUAGAAGCAGCCAUCAUUUAAAGAGUGCGUAAUAGCUCACUAGUCGAGUGACACUGCGCCGAAAAUGUACCGGGGCUAAACAUAUUACCGAAGCUGUGGAUUGUCCUUUGGACAAUGGUAGGAGAGCGUUCUAAGGGCGUUGAAGCAUGAUCGUAAGGACAUGUGGAGCGCUUAGAAGUGAGAAUGCCGGUGUGAGUAGCGAAAGACGGGUGAGAAUCCCGUCCACCGAUUGACUAAGGUUUCCAGAGGAAGGCUCGUCCGCUCUGGGUUAGUCGGGUCCUAAGCUGAGGCCGACAGGCGUAGGCGAUGGAUAACAGGUUGAUAUUCCUGUACCACCUAUAAUCGUUUUAAUCGAUGGGGGGACGCAGUAGGAUAGGCGAAGCGUGCGAUUGGAUUGCACGUCUAAGCAGUAAGGCUGAGUAUUAGGCAAAUCCGGUACUCGUUAAGGCUGAGCUGUGAUGGGGAGAAGACAUUGUGUCUUCGAGUCGUUGAUUUCACACUGCCGAGAAAAGCCUCUAGAUAGAAAAUAGGUGCCCGUACCGCAAACCGACACAGGUAGUCAAGAUGAGAAUUCUAAGGUGAGCGAGCGAACUCUCGUUAAGGAACUCGGCAAAAUGACCCCGUAACUUCGGGAGAAGGGGUGCUCUUUAGGGUUAACGCCCAGAAGAGCCGCAGUGAAUAGGCCCAAGCGACUGUUUAUCAAAAACACAGGUCUCUGCUAAACCGUAAGGUGAUGUAUAGGGGCUGACGCCUGCCCGGUGCUGGAAGGUUAAGAGGAGUGGUUAGCUUCUGCGAAGCUACGAAUCGAAGCCCCAGUAAACGGCGGCCGUAACUAUAACGGUCCUAAGGUAGCGAAAUUCCUUGUCGGGUAAGUUCCGACCCGCACGAAAGGCGUAACGAUUUGGGCACUGUCUCAACGAGAGACUCGGUGAAAUCAUAGUACCUGUGAAGAUGCAGGUUACCCGCGACAGGACGGAAAGACCCCGUGGAGCUUUACUGUAGCCUGAUAUUGAAAUUCGGCACAGCUUGUACAGGAUAGGUAGGAGCCUUUGAAACGUGAGCGCUAGCUUACGUGGAGGCGCUGGUGGGAUACUACCCUAGCUGUGUUGGCUUUCUAACCCGCACCACUUAUCGUGGUGGGAGACAGUGUCAGGCGGGCAGUUUGACUGGGGCGGUCGCCUCCUAAAAGGUAACGGAGGCGCUCAAAGGUUCCCUCAGAAUGGUUGGAAAUCAUUCAUAGAGUGUAAAGGCAUAAGGGAGCUUGACUGCGAGACCUACAAGUCGAGCAGGGUCGAAAGACGGACUUAGUGAUCCGGUGGUUCCGCAUGGAAGGGCCAUCGCUCAACGGAUAAAAGCUACCCCGGGGAUAACAGGCUUAUCUCCCCCAAGAGUUCACAUCGACGGGGAGGUUUGGCACCUCGAUGUCGGCUCAUCGCAUCCUGGGGCUGUAGUCGGUCCCAAGGGUUGGGCUGUUCGCCCAUUAAAGCGGUACGCGAGCUGGGUUCAGAACGUCGUGAGACAGUUCGGUCCCUAUCCGUCGUGGGCGUAGGAAAUUUGAGAGGAGCUGUCCUUAGUACGAGAGGACCGGGAUGGACAUACCUCUGGUGUACCAGUUGUCGUGCCAACGGCAUAGCUGGGUAGCUAUGUGUGGACGGGAUAAGUGCUGAAAGCAUCUAAGCAUGAAGCCCCCCUCAAGAUGAGAUUUCCCAACUUCGGUUAUAAGAUCCCUCAAAGAUGAUGAGGUUAAUAGGUUCGAGGUGGAAGCAUGGUGACAUGUGGAGCUGACGAAUACUAAUCGAUCGAAGACUUAAUCAA